RNAcentral lists this ribosomal RNA (118 nucleotides) under Pteropus alecto (black flying fox). The record is from RNAcentral. Lineage: Eukaryota; Metazoa; Chordata; Mammalia; Chiroptera; Pteropodidae. RNAcentral also lists the same sequence under 1 other name.
GUCUACGGCCAUACCACCUGAACAAGCCUGAUUCCCUCUGAUCUCGGAAGCUAAGCAGGGUCGGGCCUGGUUAGUACUUGGAUAGAAGACCACCUAGGAAAAGCAGGUGCUAUAGGCG